Molecule: ribosomal RNA, 443 nt
Filed under: uncultured bacterium
Lineage: Bacteria
Description: partial 16S ribosomal RNA
Rfam family: Bacterial small subunit ribosomal RNA
Source: RNAcentral
CCUACGGGAGGCAGCAGUGGGGAAUAUUGGGCAAUGGAGGAAACUCUGACCCAGCAACGCCGCGUGAAUGAUGACGGUCUUCGGAUUGUAAAGUUCUUUUCUAAGGGAAGAAGAAAGUGACGGUACCUUAGGAAUAAGCCUCGGCUAACUACGUGCCAGCAGCCGCGGUAAUACGUAGGAGGCAAGCGUUAUCCGGAUUGACUGGGCGUAAAGGGUGCGUAGGUGGUUUGAUAAGUUGGUAGCGUAACUCCGAGGCUCAACCUCGGCACUACUGCCAAAACUGUCGGACUUGAGUGCAGGAGGGGUAACUGGAAUUCCUAGUGUAGCGGUGGAAUGCGUAGAUAUUAGGAGGAACACCAGUGGCGAAGGCGAGUUGCUGGACUGUAACUGACACUGAGGCACGAAAGCGUGGGGAGCAAACAGGAUUAGAUACCCGGGUAGUC